UACGGAGGGGGCUAGCGUUGUUCGGAAUUACUGGGCGUAAAGCGCACGUAGGCGGCUUUGUAAGUUAGAGGUGAAAGCCCGGAGCUCAACUCCGGAAUUGCCUUUAAGACUGCAUCGCUAGAAUCGUGGAGAGGUAAGUGGAAUUCCGAGUGUAGAGGUGAAAUUCGUAGAUAUUCGGAAGAACACCAGUGGCGAAGGCGACUUACUGGACACGUAUUGACGCUGAGGUGCGAAAGCGUGGGGAGCAAACAGG
Molecule: ribosomal RNA, 253 nt
Filed under: uncultured bacterium
Lineage: Bacteria
Description: partial 16S ribosomal RNA
Rfam family: Bacterial small subunit ribosomal RNA
Source: RNAcentral